AUACAUCUCCGCUCGGUCGCGCUGCGCCUCUCCAGACUUCAUGGGUGCUGACCGCCCUGUUCCUGCUGUCCAGCCAUAUUGUCAAACGCUCGGGCAGAGUUUGGUGACCUACUUCGCAGAAAAAGUUCCCGCCACACAAACAAUUGGGUGAGGAUCGCUGUAAGAUUGUAUAUGAACGCGUUUUGCUGCCAAAGCGCGCAUAAAAGGAGAGGACACUGAAGUACAGACGCAUGGAUACCGAACACCUGGAGAAUUAGGUGCAUUGUGUGGAGGUAAAAUGCCCAAAGUGGCCCCGGUUGCCGCCCUCUGAUCCACCUGAGAUGUGAUCAUGAGUCUGGAGACUACAGUCCCGUCAGCCAUGGAGCCCGAUCCGAGGACGGGCCUCUCUGUGUGGGCCAUUAUAGCCAUCGCUUGCAACUCUGUGGUGGGCGUCCUCAUCCUCAUCCUCUUCGGGAUCAUCUACAAGGCCUGCAAGGUGCCUUCACACCAAGACAAAAUGCCAGUUUUCACAGCGAUGCCGGAGAAGAAGAAGAAGAAGAAGCCUGAACAGAAGUACCUGCUGACUGCAGCCUGAUCACGGCGGACAGGCACUUGAGAUGUUAUUCAACUUCGUCCAUUUAGUUGAGCUGAGGACAAGCUUUAUUUCUCUUCUCCAACCACAUCAUGCUCACAUUUCUUCCCCAUCAUCCCCUCAUGUACAGCAUUCAGCAGACUGUAGAGUGAGCUAACUGCAUUAAGAGUUGCAGCAAGGCCAACAACAACAACAACAGCAAGCAGGCCCAAUCCUCUUAUCUCUGCGGUGCGUCGCUGGGACUGUCCAUCUGUCGGUCUGUUUGCUCUACUCUACACAGGCAGACCAUGUUCUCCUACUCUACUCCAUCCAUUCUCAUUCCUCCAUACGACACCACUGAGAGGGUGUGGUGGAGAAACUGCAAAGACACCAUGUGUUGUAACGUGAGAGUUUGGGGCGAUGAGGUUGGUUGACAGCCAUAAUAACAUGUUGGAGGUACGGAGGAAAAGCAGCUCUCAAACAGCUGCAGCACGACUGACGUCAACAACAGAGCUGCCAAAAGCCUAACAGAGUCAGGAAGGAGAGAGAAGCUGCUGGGAAAGUGAGCGACAACCAGGCGGAGAGGGAGACAGACGGAGAUAAAAGGACAGACAUUUGGUGGGGACGAUAAACUGCUGGGAAAGAAUCGGAGAGGGGAUGCUUUGAUGUUGUUGUUUACAGAGAGGCAGCCCGAGGCUCCGAUUUGACAGACUCCCUAUUUGACACACAAGCUUCCACCGAUCCGACUCCCAUGAGAUUAAAAGUAGCAGCAAAAAUGUUACUCGUGUCCCAGUGUGCCUCUUUUCAUUUUGUUAGCUCCUCUACAAGUGAAAUAAGAUAUUUAUUCGUAGCUGACUGAACACUCACUGUCAGGAGGGAAGAUCGCAUGUAUUGGAGUGACUGCACUGCGGCUAACACGUUUACUGUGUGAUGUCAAUAUUGUCAGAAGGGAAGGAAAUGUGACAAGCCAUUAAUAAAUGUUUCUCCACAUCAUCAGAAUAACAAGGGCUGCCUUUCUAUUCAUGAGGUUUGUCGUGUGUCGUACAUACAAUGAUGAUUCAUUAAAAAGGCUCUUCACAGAAAUGUUCUUUAUUAUGUCUCUGAGAAACAUAACAUCUAAUAUCAGGUGUUGUUAAUUUGUGAUUUUGAUAAUUGAUAAGCAUUAUAUUUCUGUGCACAAUUAAUGAUGAACAGUAAUGUAAGUGACUCAUUUGGUAUAAGAUAACGCGUUUAAAUCACAAUGAAGUAGCAGCUAUUGUGAGCAUUUCCUUUCAUAUCAAUGUACAUGAACUACUUUUUUUUUCCAACUUGCACAAAAUUACAACUUUGAAAGAAAAACGUUGGACUUUGGAAACUUGCAGUGGUCAUUUGUCAAUACAUGUUAUACUCUACACAGAAUACCUGGUGACGAACAUAGGAAUAUGCUGCUGCCCAACCAAAGAACAGCUAUUGUUUAAUUUUGUAAUUGCCAAUGUGCUCUGGUGCUACUGAUGAGUUAAUUUUUUUACUAACACAAUAAACUAAUUCAAUCUUUUGUA
Molecule: long non-coding RNA, 2088 nt
Organism: Trematomus bernacchii (emerald rockcod)
Lineage: Eukaryota; Metazoa; Chordata; Actinopteri; Perciformes; Nototheniidae
Exons: 2
Source: RefSeq, a predicted model, not a curated record